RNAcentral lists this ribosomal RNA (211 nucleotides) under uncultured bacterium. RNAcentral's name for it is "partial 16S ribosomal RNA". It matches the Rfam family "Bacterial small subunit ribosomal RNA", at positions 524 to 733 of the family's 1533-position model. The record is from RNAcentral.
UACAGAGGGUGCAAGCGUUGUUCGGAAUUAUUGGGCGUAAAGCGCGUGUAGGCGGCUUUGCAAGUCGGGUGUGAAAGCCCUCAGCUCAACUGAGGAAGUGCGCCCGAAACUGCAGAGCUUGAGUGCCGGAGAGGGUGGCGGAAUUCCCCAAGUAGAGGUGAAAUUCGUAGAUAUGGGGAGGAACACCGGUGGCGAAGGCGGCCGACCUGGA